RNAcentral lists this ribosomal RNA (468 nucleotides) under uncultured bacterium. RNAcentral's name for it is "partial 16S ribosomal RNA". It matches the Rfam family "Bacterial small subunit ribosomal RNA", at positions 28 to 507 of the family's 1533-position model. The record is from RNAcentral.
GACGAACGCUGGCGGCGUGCUUAACACAUGCAAGUCGAACGGAAAGGCCCUGCUUUUGUGUGGUGCUCGAGUGGCGAACGGGUGAGUAACACGUGAGUAACCUGCCCUUGUCUUUGGGAUAACUUCAGGAAACUGGGGCUAAUACCCGAUAGGAGCUCCUGCUGCAUGGUGUGGGUUGGAAAGUUUCGGCGGUUGGGGAUGGACUCGCGGCUUAUCCGCUUGUUGGUGGGGUAGUGGCUUACCAAGGCUUUGACGGGUAGCCGGCCUGAGAGGGUGACCGGCCACAUUGGGACUGAGAGAGGGCCCAGACUCCUACGGGAGGCAGCAGUGGGGAAUAUUGCACAAUGGGCGGAAGCCUGAUGCAGCAACGCCGCGUGCGGGAUGACGGCCUUCGGGUUGUAAACCGCUUUCGCAUGUGACGAAGCGUGAGUGACGGUAAUGGGUAAAGAAGCACCGGCUAACUACGUG